This 734-nucleotide ribosomal RNA is filed under the name Buttiauxella sp. 110518_136_C_C7. RNAcentral describes it as "bacterial SSU rRNA". It matches the Rfam family "Bacterial small subunit ribosomal RNA", at positions 20 to 743 of the family's 1533-position model. Lineage: Bacteria; Pseudomonadati; Pseudomonadota; Gammaproteobacteria; Enterobacterales; Enterobacteriaceae. The record is from RNAcentral.
UGGCUCAGAUUGAACGCUGGCGGCAGGCCUAACACAUGCAAGUCGAGCGGUAACACAGGAGAGCUUGCUCUCUGGGUGACGAGCGGCGGACGGGUGAGUAAUGUCUGGGAAACUGCCCGAUGGAGGGGGAUAACUACUGGAAACGGUAGCUAAUACCGCAUAACGUCUUCGGACCAAAGAGGGGGACCUUCGGGCCUCUUGCCAUCGGAUGUGCCCAGAUGGGAUUAGCUAGUAGGUGGGGUAAUGGCUCACCUAGGCGACGAUCCCUAGCUGGUCUGAGAGGAUGACCAGCCACACUGGAACUGAGACACGGUCCAGACUCCUACGGGAGGCAGCAGUGGGGAAUAUUGCACAAUGGGCGCAAGCCUGAUGCAGCCAUGCCGCGUGUAUGAAGAAGGCCUUCGGGUUGUAAAGUACUUUCAGCGAGGAGGAAGGCAUUAAGGUUAAUAACCUUAGUGAUUGACGUUACUCGCAGAAGAAGCACCGGCUAACUCCGUGCCAGCAGCCGCGGUAAUACGGAGGGUGCAAGCGUUAAUCGGAAUUACUGGGCGUAAAGCGCACGCAGGCGGUCUGUCAAGUCGGAUGUGAAAUCCCCGGGCUCAACCUGGGAACUGCAUUCGAAACUGGCAGGCUAGAGUCUUGUAGAGGGGGGUAGAAUUCCAGGUGUAGCGGUGAAAUGCGUAGAGAUCUGGAGGAAUACCGGUGGCGAAGGCGGCCCCCUGGACAAAGACUGA